CCAAGUCUGAGGCUUUACCAGGAAAAAUCUGUGGUGAGUUGAAAUGUUCCACAAAAUUUAUAAUAAUAUUAUUAUGGACUUUUAAAACUUUUUAUUUAUUAAGGGUUUUUGUGUGAUAUUGAAGAUAUCUGCAUCAUUUCAUAACAUUUUUUGUCGAGCCUGCAACUUUUGUUGCAGAAAGCUCGACAUAGGGAUAGUGAUCUAUCUUCUUAAAGUUUAUAUUUUAGAAGGUGAAAGACCUGGAUGCUUCAUACUUUGUAUAUAGAUGCCUCAUGUUACGAAGUUUCCGUCAUCACAUGUCCAAUGUCCUUGACCUCAUUUUCAUGGUUCAGUGACCACUUGAAAAAAAAGUUCAUUUUUGUAAUGUUGAAUUCUCUCUUAUUAUAAGUAAUAGGAUAACUAUAUUUGGUAUGUGCGUACCUUGAAGGUUUCAUGGUCAGACAGUUUUCACUUGAACUCUACCUCAUUUCAUGGAUCAUGAACAAGGUUAAUUUUGGUGGUCAAGUCCAUAUCUCAGAUACUAAAGUAAUAGGGCUAGUUAUUUGGUGUAUGGAAGGACUGUAAGGUGUACAUGUCCAACUGGCAGGUGUCAUCUGACCUUGACCUCAUUUUCAUGGUUCAGUGGUUAUAGUUAAUUUUUGUGUUUUGGCUGUUUUUCUCAUAGUUUAUGCAAUAGGUCUACUAUAUUGUUGUAUUGGAAUUUGUAAGGUGUACAUUCUAGCGGGCAGGUGUCAUUGACCUUGACCUCAUUUUCAUGGUUCAGUGGUCAAAGUUAAGUUUUUAAGUUUUGGUCUUUUUAUCUAAUAUUAUAUGCCAAAGGUCAACUAUAUUUGGUGUAUGGAAAAUAUUUAUGAUCUAUUAUGUCAGUGCAGGUUUUAUUUGACAUGACCUCAAUUGCACGGUUCAUUGCACAGUGUUAAGUUUUGUGUUUGGUCUAUUUUUUAACUAUAAGUAAUAGGUCAACUAUAUAUUGUUGUAUGGAAGCUUUGUUAGCUGUACAUGUCUGCCUGGCAUGGUUCAUCUGACCUUGACCUUUUUCAUGGUUCAUUGGUCUUUUUUAGUAUCUUGGUUAAUGUUAAGUUUAUGUGACAGUUGUAAAUCAAGCUUUUAUACUUGGACUAUCAACAUAAAAUCAAUGAUUAGUAAAGAAGGCGAGACAUUUCAGAAUAACUUGUAUUUAAUGAAAAUGUUUUCUACCUUAUGUAUUAAGUCAAUAUUUUGAAGAUAUUAUAUAACAAAUUCAUAAGAAAUGAUACAAGGCAUAAUUAUGUUUCUCUUCUUAAGGUGGUACCUAACACUAACUCUGUAAAAUCAGCAGAACGUUUUAAUGAAGUUGUGUUCAUAUGGGAAUAUUAAGCUUUUCAAUGAUCAAAAUAAGUGUUUGUCAAACUGCUAUAUAACCAGUGUAAUUUUUCUGAUUAAACGGUAGGUUCAAAUUUUUUGAAAUUUUUAUAUUUUUGUCAAAGGGUCAAAGUAAAUACUUUGUCAAAAUUUUAAGAAAAUUAAAAGAGCCAAAUUAAUUUUAGUUAAAGUGUUAGGUACCACCUUAAUUUUAUCUUUUAAACAUUUUUUUUUAUGUCAGGUUGUUGAAAUUACAAUGUUUUCCUGGUGUUGGGAGUAAGACAUGGAUAACUGAUAUUGUUAACAUGUUGGUAGGUAUUAAAGCUUUUAUUUUUAAUAAUUUUAAUAGUAUUUGACAUCAAUAAAUUUUUUGAAGGUUUGAAAUACUAUACAAUAUGAUGAAAUACAAGUUUAUUUUUUGCUAACUUAAUAAAUAUGAAAAUGUAAAUCGGGAAUGUGUUGGAGAGAUAAAUAAAACCUUACAAAGGGUAAAAAACAUAACCAGUAGUUUGAUUUUGAAUACCAAUUAUUUUCUUGCAGAAUUUUGUUUGUUAUCUGAGAACUUUUAAAAAAUUAUUAUGAUGUACAUAUUUUUUGAAAGUUGAGAAUAACUGACCUUGAACUUUGUUUUACAGGUUAGCAUCACAAGUUUCCUUGGGGUUACUUGCUUGGGGAGUUAUUAGAGCUGUUUUAAGGUGAGAAUUUAUUAAUCAACAAACAAUUUAAAUUUAUUUAUUAUACAUGUAUCUAAUUUUAAAUGCCCCUAGAUAUCUAUAUAUCUAUCCUAAAUAUAUGUCAAUGUAAAAUGUUGUACCUUUACUUUAGAAGUGUAUCUAUAUUUACUGAUUUGUCUCCCUUGCCCUGAACAAGAUUAGGCCAGAGACUACAAUUAAGUUCUUUAUAACGUUUUGUCGCAUUAAAAAAAAUUUGCCUAUUCUUUUUGUCUAAUUUUUGGUGUGUGCAAUGUACAGUUCAAGUCCAAAAAUAUAUGCAAUUUUCAGAAAAAUUGCAUGUUUACAUCAUACAAAUUUGGCCAAUACACAUCCAUACCCCUAUAGGCAAGUCAAGAGAUGUUCCGAAAAGUGUAAAUACUACCUUUUUGCACCUGGCCGAAUCACUCUUUCCUUAUCAAAAUCAGUUAAAAUAAAACAUCCAAAAGUUUAUUUCAGCUCUCUUCUUUCAUUUCCACCCCAGAAAAACUAAGAAAUGUAUGAGAAAGGGAAAGAAAAAAAAAUAAAGAAAAAAUACACUAUAAUUAAAGGGAACUAUAUUCAUGGACAACGAAAAGUGGGGUCAUUAAUUGUGGUCUUGGGCCAGAUGUGAAGGGGAGAUAAUCUGAUAUCAAGUAAAACCUAGCUAUCAUAAAAAAGAGAUGAUCAUGUAUGAUAACUGCUUUACAUUCAGUCAUUCAUAUUUUCAUUACAAAUUUCAAAAGAAUUUAUUCCUACUUUUUUAUCAUGGAGAAAAUUUUGUUUGGAUCUCAGUAAGGGUCAAUAAAACAACAAAUAACAAAAUAUUCAUUAAAUUUUACUUUUUAUUAAGUGAACUUACCUGAGCAGCUUCUGCAUUCACUGUGUUAAAUAUUUCCAAUAAUUGCUCAGGUAUUUGAUGUCAAGUCUCAUAAUUGUAAAGUUUGGAAAAUUUAUUUUUGUGUAUUGACAGAUUUCAGUAAAAUGAAGUAGCAAAAAUAAGAAGAGUUUUCACAUUCAUUGAUAUGGUUUUUUUUUAAAUUGAAUUUUAUUAUAUACCCUUAAGAUUAUUUUGAUAAAAUAAUUGAAACUUAACUUUAUUUCUUUUCAGUUGAAAGUGUAACAGUUGCUGCCUUGUAUGGUAAAAUCCUCAGACAAUAAUCCUGCAAACAAUCGGAUGAACUGUUACUAUCUCUAUUGGAACAAUCUGUAGACAGUAGUCUUGUAAGCAGAAUGAGUUUUUAACAAAUUGUAUUUUUAUUGCUGUAUUGAAUUUCAAAUUAUAGAUUUUUUUUUAUUUAUAUUACUUGCAUUCAAUUAUUGUUUUGUGAUUGAUGAAAAAUUAAACUGAAAUUAUUGUUAUUUGAGGGGUCCCAAAGGUAUGCCAUAUGGUUUCUCAAAGUACCCACAAGACGUACAUAGGUUUACAUAUAUUUUUAAGUUAUGUACAUGUAAGCCUUACAAGUGCUUUGUGAAAUGAAUUUUGUCGGUUACAAUCCAAAAUAGUAGGAUUUUGAUGGCCAAACACUAUGAAAAGAGAAUAUGAAACUAGUCCCCUGUUAAAUAUUUUAACUACUAAGUUUUUGACCCCAAAUAAAAAUGUUUGGGUUUUGGGUUGGGUUUUACUCCACUGACUGCCUAAGAGGGGACCAGGCCAGCCCAAGUGAUUCCCUUUAUAAUCAACAAUUUUUUUUCCCACAAAAGGGGGGGGGACCCUCUAAACCGCCUCUGCAAUGGGAAGAUUUGUGUUUUCUGUCUGUUUGUCCAUCAUCAUCUCUCAUCCACGGCUUAUAAACUAUUGGUAGAUUUUCAUUGAAACUUUCAGAUUAUCUUCUGUAACUAAUGGCAGUGUGUAUUUUGUUUUAUUAUAAUGAAAUUUUGGGGUUCCCAAUUGAAAGAAUGGACC
Molecule: long non-coding RNA, 3936 nt
Filed under: Mytilus galloprovincialis (Mediterranean mussel)
Lineage: Eukaryota; Metazoa; Mollusca; Bivalvia; Mytilida; Mytilidae
Source: RNAcentral